UGGGGAAUAUUGGACAAUGGGCGAAAGCCUGAUCCAGCCAUGCCGCGUGUGUGAAGAAGGCCCUCGGGUUGUAAAGCACUUUCAGCGAGGAAGAACGCCUAGGGGUUAAUACCCCCUAGGAAAGACAUCACUCGCAGAAGAAGCACCGGCUAACUCCGUGCCAGCAGCCGCGGUAAUACGAAGGGUGCAAGCGUUAAUCGGAAUUACUGGGCGUAAAGCGCGCGUAGGUGGCUUGAUAAGCCGGUUGUGAAAGCCCCGGGCUCAACCUGGGAACGGCAUCCGGAACUGUCAAGCUAGAGUGCAGGAGAGGAAGGUAGAAUUCCCGGUGUAGCGGUGAAAUGCGUAGAGAUCGGGAGGAAUACCAGUGGCGAAGGCGGCCUUCUGGACUGACACUGACACUGAGGUGCGAAAGCGUGGGUAGCAAACA
This 427-nucleotide ribosomal RNA is filed under the name uncultured Halomonas sp. RNAcentral describes it as "bacterial SSU rRNA". It matches the Rfam family "Bacterial small subunit ribosomal RNA", at positions 355 to 774 of the family's 1533-position model. The record is from RNAcentral. Lineage: Bacteria; Pseudomonadati; Pseudomonadota; Gammaproteobacteria; Oceanospirillales; Halomonadaceae.